AAGGCGAUCUGCUGGAACUCAACUGACGCUAAGGCGCGAAAGCGUGGGGAGCAAACAGGAUUAGAUACCCUGGUAGUCCACGCCCUAAACGAUGUACACUAGUUGUUGGGGUGCUAGUCAUCUCAGUAAUGCAGCUAACGCAUUAAGUGUACCGCCUGGGGAGUACGGUCGCAAGAUUAAAACUCAAAGGAAUAGACGGGGACCCGCACAAGCGGUGGAGCAUGUGGUUUAAUUCGAAGAUACGCGAAGAACCUUACCUGGGCUUGAUAUCCUAAGAACCUUUUAGAGAUAAGAGGGUGCUAGCUUGCUAGAACUUAGAGACAGGUGCUGCACGGCUGUCGUCAGCUCGUGUCGUGAGAUGUUGGGUUAAGUCCCGCAACGAGCGCAACCCACGUAUUUAGUUGCUAACGGUUCGGCCGAGCACUCUAAAUAGACUGCCUUCGUAAGGAGGAGGAAGGUGUGGACGACGUCAAGUCAUCAUGGCCCUUAUGCCCAGGGCGACACACGUGCUACAAUGGCAUAUACAAUGAGACGCAAUACCGCGAGGUGGAGCAAAUCUAUAAAAUAUGUCCCAGUUCGGAUUGUUCUCUGCAACUCGAGAGCAUGAAGCCGGAAUCGCUAGUAAUCGUAGAUCAGCCAUGCUACGGUGAAUACGUUCCCGGGUCUUGUACUCACCGCCCGUCACACCAUGGGAGUUGAUUUCACUCGAAGCCGGAAUACUAAACUAGUUACCGUCCACAGUGGAAUCAGCGACUGGGGUGAAGUCGUAACAAGGUAACCGUAGGAGAACCUGCGGUUG
RNAcentral lists this ribosomal RNA (799 nucleotides) under Campylobacter jejuni. RNAcentral describes it as "bacterial SSU rRNA". It matches the Rfam family "Bacterial small subunit ribosomal RNA", at positions 718 to 1520 of the family's 1533-position model. Lineage: Bacteria; Pseudomonadati; Campylobacterota; Epsilonproteobacteria; Campylobacterales; Campylobacteraceae. The record is from RNAcentral.